This 439-nucleotide ribosomal RNA is filed under the name uncultured bacterium. RNAcentral describes it as "partial 16S ribosomal RNA". It matches the Rfam family "Bacterial small subunit ribosomal RNA", at positions 339 to 795 of the family's 1533-position model. The record is from RNAcentral.
CUACGGGCCGCAGCAGUGGGGAAUAUUGCACAAUGGAGGAAACUCUGAUGCAGCAACGCCGCGUGGAGGAUGACACUUUUCGGAGCGUAAACUCCUUUUAUAUAGGAAGAAGAUGACGGUACUAUAUGAAUAAGCGCCGGCUAACUCCGUGCCAGCAGCCGCGGUAAUACGGAGGGCGCAAGCGUUACUCGGAAUCACUGGGCGUAAAGAGCGUGUAGGCGGAUUAAAAAGUCAGAAGUGAAAUCCUAUAGCUUAACUAUAGAACUGCUUCUGAAACUCUUAAUCUAGAAUAUGGGAGAGGUAGAUGGAAUUUCUGGUGUAGGGGUAAAAUCCGUAGAGAUCAGAAGGAAUACCGAUUGCGAAGGCGAUCUACUGGAACAUUAUUGACGCUGAGACGCGAAAGCGUGGGGAGCAAACAGGAUUAGAUACCCGGGUAGUC